GUACAAAUAAAUACAUACAACUGUACAUAUAAAUACAUAUGAUUGUACAUAUAAAUACAUACGAAUUAUUAUUUAAACAAUAUUAUGUAUAUUUUGAUUUGAUAUUAUAAAAAACAAAAAAAAAAAAAAAAAUGAGAAAAGUAUGGACCCCUAUAAGAAGACCAGAAGAUCAAAAAGUUAUAAAAAAUAACUACAAUGAAGAAGAAAAAGCAAAUUUUGAAAAAUCCCUACCAAUGGGUUUCAUAGAAAACAAUAGAAACAAAAGGAUACCUUAUUUUGAAAUAAAAGAAUCUACAAUGGUAGAACAAAAAGAAAGGAAAGAAGCACAAAAAAUCUUAGCUUUAGAGUUAAGAGAUAAGUGCAGAGCCGAGAUUGACGAAUAUGUUGAGUGUACCGUAGGGCGACUGUGGACAUUUUUAAGAUGCAAAGAUUUUAUGAUAAAAAUGAGAAAAUGCUUAAAGCAAUAUGAAAACCUUGAAUAUGUAAAAUUUAGGGAGAAUCAAAUUAUUGAAGAAAGAAAGAAAAAUGGAACGAGUCUGUAUAGAUCGGAUGAAAGGGCUAGAUAUAACCGAUUUAUGUACACGUAAUAAUAAAAUAAUAACAUAUCAAUGUAAUGAUUAUAUU
This 624-nucleotide long non-coding RNA is filed under the name Piliocolobus tephrosceles (Ugandan red Colobus). Its description in RNAcentral is "lncRNA (ENSPTEG00000017123.1)". The record is from RNAcentral. Lineage: Eukaryota; Metazoa; Chordata; Mammalia; Primates; Cercopithecidae.